UGGGGAAUUUUGGACAAUGGGCGCAAGCCUGAUCCAGCCAUGCCGCGUGUCUGAAGAAGGCCUUCGGGUUGUAAAGGACUUUUGUCAGGGAAGAAAAGGCUGUUGCUAAUAUCAGCGGCUGAUGACGGUACCUGAAGAAUAAGCACCGGCUAACUACGUGCCAGCAGCCGCGGUAAUACGUAGGGUGCAAGCGUUAAUCGGAAUUACUGGGCGUAAAGCGAGCGCAGACGGUUACUUAAGCAGGAUGUGAAAUCCCCGGGCUCAACCUGGGAACUGCGUUCUGAACUGGGUGACUAGAGUGUGUCAGAGGGAGGUAGAAUUCCACGUGUAGCAGUGAAAUGCGUAGAGAUGUGGAGGAAUACCGAUGGCGAAGGCAGCCUCCUGGGAUAACACUGACGUUCAUGCUCGAAAGCGUGGGUAGCAAACAGGAUUAGAUACCCUGGUAGUCCACGCCCUAAACGAUGUCAAUUAGCUGUUGGGCAACUUGAUUGUUCAGUAGCGUAGCUAACGCGUGAAAUUGACCGCCUGGGGAGUACGGUCGCAAGAUUA
This 549-nucleotide ribosomal RNA is filed under the name uncultured bacterium. Its description in RNAcentral is "bacterial SSU rRNA". It matches the Rfam family "Bacterial small subunit ribosomal RNA", at positions 355 to 896 of the family's 1533-position model. The record is from RNAcentral.